UACGAAGGGUGCAAACGUUGCUCGGAAUUAUUGGGCGUAAAGCGCACGUAGGCGGCUUUGCAAGUCCCAUGUGAAAUCCCACGGCUCAACCGUGGAAGUGCAUGGGAAACUGCAGAGCUUGAGUACUUAAGAGGAUCGCGGAAUUCCCGGUGUAGAGGUGAAAUUCGUAGAUAUCGGGAGGAACACCAGUGGCGAAGGCGGCGACCUGGACGGACAUUGACGCUGAUGCACGAAAGGCUGGGGGGAGCAAACACGG
RNAcentral lists this ribosomal RNA (256 nucleotides) under uncultured bacterium. RNAcentral describes it as "partial 16S ribosomal RNA". It matches the Rfam family "Bacterial small subunit ribosomal RNA", at positions 524 to 777 of the family's 1533-position model. The record is from RNAcentral.